Molecule: non-coding RNA, 89 nt
Organism: Caerostris darwini
Lineage: Eukaryota; Metazoa; Arthropoda; Arachnida; Araneae; Araneidae
Source: the annotation of a GenBank genome assembly
GCUUGACUUCGUUAGAUCACCGAAGUCAAGCAUCAUUGGGCGCGGUCAGUACUUGGGUGGGUGACCACCUGGGAACACCGCGUGCCGUU